This 468-nucleotide ribosomal RNA is filed under the name uncultured bacterium. Its description in RNAcentral is "partial 16S ribosomal RNA". It matches the Rfam family "Bacterial small subunit ribosomal RNA", at positions 28 to 507 of the family's 1533-position model. The record is from RNAcentral.
GACGAACGCUGGCGGCGUGCUUAACACAUGCAAGUCGAACGGAAAGGCCCUGCUUUUGUGGGGUGCUCGAGUGGCGAACGGGUGAGUAACACGUGAGUAACCUGCCCUUGACUUUGGGGUAACUUCAGGAAACUGGGGCUAAUACCGGAUAGGAGCUCCUGCUGCAUGGUGGGGGGUGGAAAGUUUCGGCGGUUGGGGAUGGACUCGCGGCUUAUCAGCUUGUUGGUGGGGUAGUGGCUUACCAAGGCGUUGAGGGGUAGCCGGCCUGAGAGGGUGACCGGCCACAUUGGGACUGAGAUACGGCCCAGACUCCUACGGGAGGCAGCAGUGGGGAAUAUUGCACAAUGGGCGGAAGCCUGAUGCAGCAACGCCGCGUGCGGGAUGACGGCCUUCGGGUUGUAAACCGCUUUCGCCUGUGACGAAGCGUGAGUGACGGUAAUGGGUAAAGAAGCACCGGCUAACUACGUG